AGACGGUAAUUGAGGAGGAAGCCCCGGCUAACUACGUGCCAGCAGCCGCGGUAAUACGUAGGGGGCAAGCGUUGUCCGGAAUGAUUGGGCGUAAAGGGCGCGUAGGCGGCCCGGUAAGUCUGGAGUGAAAGUCCUGCUUUUAAGGUGGGAAUUGCUUUGGAUACUGUCGGGCUUGAGUGCAGGAGAGGUAAGUGGAAUUCCCAGUGUAGCGGUGAAAUGCGUAGAGAUUGGGAGGAACACCAGUGGCGAAGGCGACUUACUGGACUGUAACUGACGCUGAGGCGCGAAAGUGUGGGGAGCAAACAGGAUUAGAUACCCUG
RNAcentral lists this ribosomal RNA (320 nucleotides) under uncultured bacterium. Its description in RNAcentral is "bacterial SSU rRNA". It matches the Rfam family "Bacterial small subunit ribosomal RNA", at positions 470 to 789 of the family's 1533-position model. The record is from RNAcentral.